AUACGUAGGGUGCAAGCGUUAAUCGGAAUUACUGGGCGUAAAGCGUGCGCAGGCGGUUUUGUAAGACAGAGGUGAAAUCCCCGGGCUCAACCUGGGAACUGCCUUUGUGACUGCAAGGCUAGAGUACGGCAGAGGGGGGUGGAAUUCCGCGGGUAGGCGUGGAAAGCGUAGAUAUGCGGAGGAACACCGAUGGCGAAGGCAAUCCCCUGGGCCUGUACUGACGCUCAUGCACGAAAGCGUGGGGAGCAAACAGGAUUAGAUACCCUGGUAGUCCACGCCCUAAACGAUGUCAACUGGUUGUUGGGUCUUCAUUGACUCAGUAACGAAGCUAACGCGUGAAGUUGACCGCCUGGGGAGUACGGCCGCAAGGUUGAAACUCAAAUGAAUUGGCGGGG
This 395-nucleotide ribosomal RNA is filed under the name uncultured bacterium. RNAcentral describes it as "partial 16S ribosomal RNA". It matches the Rfam family "Bacterial small subunit ribosomal RNA", at positions 523 to 918 of the family's 1533-position model. The record is from RNAcentral.